Molecule: ribosomal RNA, 514 nt
Filed under: uncultured bacterium
Lineage: Bacteria
Description: partial 16S ribosomal RNA
Rfam family: Bacterial small subunit ribosomal RNA
Source: RNAcentral
GAUGAACGCUGGCGGCGUGCCUAAUACAUGCAAGUCGAGCGAACAGAUGAGAAGCUUGCUUCUCUGAUGUUAGCGGCGGACGGGUGAGUAACACGUGGGUAACCUACCUAUAAGACUGGGAUAACUCCGGGAAACCGGGGCUAAUACCGGAUAAUAUUUUGAACUGCAUGGUUCAAUAGUGAAAGACGGUUUCGGCUGUCACUUAUAGAUGGACCCGCGCCGUAUUAGCUAGUUGGUAAGGUAACGGCUUACCAAGGCGACGAUACGUAGCCGACCUGAGAGGGUGAUCGGCCACACUGGAACUGAGACACGGUCCAGACUCCUACGGGAGGCAGCAGUAGGGAAUCUUCCGCAAUGGGCGAAAGCCUGACGGAGCAACGCCGCGUGAGUGAUGGAGGUCUUCGGAUCGUAAAACUCUGUUGUUAGGGAAGAACAAAUUUGUUAGUAACUGAACAAGUCUUGACGGUACCUAACCAGAAAGCCACGGCUAACUACGUGCCAGCAGCCGCAGUAA